GGGCCGAUAGUUCAGCUGGUAUGAACGCUUGACUUGCACUCAAGAGGUCGGGGGUUCAAAUCCCCCUCGGUCCACCA
Molecule: transfer RNA, 77 nt
Filed under: Nitrososphaerota archaeon
Lineage: Archaea; Thermoproteati; Nitrososphaerota
Also listed under: 7 other names
Description: tRNA-Ala
Rfam family: tRNA
About the family: Transfer RNA (tRNA) molecules are approximately 80 nucleotides in length. Their secondary structure includes four short double-helical elements and three loops (D, anti-codon, and T loops).
Source: RNAcentral